RNAcentral lists this ribosomal RNA (253 nucleotides) under uncultured bacterium. Its description in RNAcentral is "partial 16S ribosomal RNA". It matches the Rfam family "Bacterial small subunit ribosomal RNA", at positions 524 to 776 of the family's 1533-position model. The record is from RNAcentral.
UACGUAGGGUGCAAGCGUUAAUCGGAAUUACUGGGCGUAAAGCGUGCGCAGGCGGUUAUGUAAGACAGAUGUGAAAUCCCCGGGCUUAACCUGGGAACUGCAUUUGUGACUGCAUAGCUAGAGUACGGUAGAGGGGGAUGGAAUUCCGCGUGUAGCAGUGAAAUGCGUAGAUAUGCGGAGGAACACCGAUGGCGAAGGCGGUCACCUGGCCCGUAACUGACGCUGAGGCACGAAAGCGUGGGGAUCAAACAGG